UGCCAGACUCCUACGGGAGGCAGCAGUGAGGAAUAUUGGUCAAUGGCCGAGAGGCUGAACCAGCCAAGUCGCGUGAGGGAAGAAUGUCCUAUGGAUUGUAAACCUCUUUUGUCAGGGAGCAAAGUCACCCACGUGUGGGUGUUGGAGAGUACCUGAAGAAAAAGCAUCGGCUAACUCCGUGCCAGCAGCCGCGGUAAUACGGAGGAUCCGAGCGUUAUCCGGAUUUAUUGGGUUUAAAGGGAGCGUAGAUGGGUUGUUAAGUCAGUUGUGAAAGUUUGCGGCUCAACCGUAAAAUUGCAAUUGAUACUGGCAGCCUUGAGUACAGUUGAGGUAGGCGGAAUUCGUGGUGUAGCGGUGAAAUGCUUAGAUAUCACGAAGAACUCCGAUUGCGAAGGCAGCUUACUAAACUGCCACUGACAUUGAUGCUCGAAAGUGUGGGUAUCAAACAGGAUUAGAUACCCCUGUACG
This 468-nucleotide ribosomal RNA is filed under the name uncultured bacterium. RNAcentral describes it as "bacterial SSU rRNA". It matches the Rfam family "Bacterial small subunit ribosomal RNA", at positions 329 to 793 of the family's 1533-position model. The record is from RNAcentral.